This 1596-nucleotide long non-coding RNA is filed under the name Equus asinus (donkey). RNAcentral's name for it is "lncRNA (ENSEASG00005016392.2)". Lineage: Eukaryota; Metazoa; Chordata; Mammalia; Perissodactyla; Equidae. The record is from RNAcentral.
GGGCGCCUGUCUGCCAGAAGCCUGCUCCGAAGACCUGGAGGGGGAGAAGACAAAAGUGCUUCAAGGAGCUGCUAGUGUUUCACCCUCCUGGAAGCGUUCAGCAGUCCUUGCUGUGUGGAGACUGGAACCAGGGGAUCGUGGCCCGUGGCAGCGUGCUGUGUGGCCCUGGAGCACGGGGCAAGGAGCUGUUGGAAGUGCUCUCUUUUGUCACUUAGCCUGGCCUAAGAGUUCCCUGUAGCUCGCACCUGCGAAUGGCACCAAAGGAGACAUUGUUUCAUCGCUCCCCAUAGCAUCCAGCCUUACCUGUGGAAAUUUGUACAGUUCUAGCAGUCUUCCAAUCUGGGCAGAAAUUGACUGUUGUGUUCCUGUAAGUGUUGCUACAGACUUGCUCUCUCUCCUACAGGUGUAAUUAGGGAGGUCCUUGUCCACCCCUGAGAGCCAAAUGAAGGAACUCUCCAAUGUCCUCUAUUCACUGUGCAGAGCUUCAUAGAGAUCAAACCCCAGAAACGUGUUGGGUAAAAGAUGGGAGUUUCUGUUAAUUUCCUCAAUGGCAAAAACCAAGGCCAGAUCAUACUGGUAGUUCUUGUAGUGAAACCUGCAUGGAGGGCUAGGGAUCCUUGGGAAAAGACUCAAACCAGGAUUAUCAUCAAAUCCAAUACAGUGACUUAAUUAAGGGUGAAUGCCCAGUCAACUCAUUCUAUCUGUGUCAACAGCUGGCUCUCCUGAAGCCUUAGAAUUUACAGCGAAAGCAAAUCACCUAACUUACGCUCUGCAAAGACGUUAAUGAAUUACACACAUGUGGAGAAAAAUUAUUCAGUUUACAAAGGAAAGUAUAAUGAAUGGAAAAGCAGGUCACAUUCAAAGUAGGUUUUGGAAAUGAUUCUUUGAUUCAAGAACCAAAUGCUUGUUCAUAUGAACACAUCAUUAAAUGCUUCAUAGAACAGUAACAAUAUUAACAUGAGAUUGGAGACAGCCCUGGGGAGGAAGAGGAAUUCUGACUUAAGGUUAGGGGGUAAGCAGAGAAGCAUGACAUCUGUGGGUUGAGAGUGGUGCAGCAGAAGGCUGGCAAUCAAAUUGCCUAAGCUUCUGCCUCAUCAAACUUGUGUCUCCGCCACCAUCAAUAAUCGGCAAGCUAAGAGGAACUUCAGAGCUUCCUGACGAGGAAUCAUCAAACGGCAGGAACAUUUGGGAAAAGCAUGAAGGACUGAAAGGACUGGAAAUGCUUCAGAAUCUAAGAGACACAGCAUUGUAAAUUUUAAAAAAUGAAAAUGUAAUUAUCAAAACUGACUCAAAUAUAAAAUAAAGAGAGAAAAUUAUACAACAGUUGCUACAUAGUUUCAAGAGAAUGUUUAAGAAAUAAAAUUCCUUGGGGCUGGCCCCAUGGCCGAGUGGUUAAGUUCACGCGCUCUGCUUCAGCGACCCAGGAUUUCGCCAGUUCAGAUCCUGGGUGCAGAGAUGGCACCGUUCAUCAGGUCAUACUGAGGCGGCGUCCCACAUAGCACAGCCAGAGGUACUCACAAAUAGAAUAUACAACUAUGUACUGGGGGGCUUUGGGGAGAAGAAAAAAAAAGAAGAUUGGCAACAGUUGUUAGCUCA